Molecule: long non-coding RNA, 371 nt
Organism: Cynocephalus volans (Philippine flying lemur)
Lineage: Eukaryota; Metazoa; Chordata; Mammalia; Dermoptera; Cynocephalidae
Exons: 2
Source: RefSeq, a predicted model, not a curated record
CUAUUCCUGAGUAGGACCUGGGCUCUCAAAAGAGAGACCACAGAAGACAGGAAGAAAGGGUCUCCCAUUAUCUCUUUCCCUAGAAAGUAUGCUCUGAGAAGCUGCCAAUGUCCCUCAAAGUCUUAGAUGGGUUCAGGACUUAACUAUAAGAACUAUUUUCCCCAUGCCCACAACAGAUGAAAACUAAAGGAAGAGCCUGACUUUUCUAAUUUCAAUUGGGUGACCUUGGAAGUCAUUUUUGAAAAUGGUGGGAACCCUAGAGGAAAGGAGCCUGGUCUUACAGUUACUGCUUGGAGAAGAGUCUCUCACCAAUCAAGAACAUCUAGUUAAACUUUACAUGGGCAAGAAAUAAAUAUGUAUUUAUUAAGUCA